Molecule: ribosomal RNA, 838 nt
Filed under: uncultured archaeon
Lineage: Archaea
Description: bacterial SSU rRNA
Rfam family: Archaeal small subunit ribosomal RNA
Source: RNAcentral
AGGUUACUGCUAUCGGUGUUCGCCUAAGCCAUGCGAGUCACAUGUUCGUAAGAACAUGGCGUACUGCUCAGUAACACGUGGAUAACCUGCCCUUGGGUCCGGCAUAACCCCGGGAAACUGGGGAUAAUUCCGGAUAACGCACAUAUGCUGGAAUGCUUUAUGCGUAAAAUGGGUUCGUCUGCCCAAGGAUGGGUCUGCGGCCUAUCAGGUAGUAGUGGGUGUAAUGUACCUACUAGCCUACGACGGGUACGGGUUGUGAGAGCAAGAGCCCGGAGAUGGAUUCUGAGACAUGAAUCCAGGCCCUACGGGGCGCAGCAGGCGCGAAAACUUUACAAUGCGGGAAACCGUGAUAAGGGGACACCGAGUGCCAGCAUCCUAUGCUGGCUGUCCGGGUGUGUAAAAUACACCUGUUAGCAAGGGCCGGGCAAGACCGGUGCCAGCCGCCGCGGUAACACCGGCGGCCCGAGUGGUGAUCGUGAUUAUUGGGUCUAAAGGGUCCGUAGCCGGUUUGGUCAGUCCUCCGGGAAAUCUGACAGCUUAACUGUUAGGCUUUCGGAGGAUACUGCCAGACUUGGAACCGGGAGAGGUAAGAGGUACUACAGGGGUAGGAGUGAAAUCUUGUAAUCCCUGUGGGACCACCUGUGGCGAAGGCGUCUUACCAGAACGGGUUCGACGGUGAGGGACGAAAGCUGGGGGCACGAACCGGAUUAGAUACCCGGGUAGUCCCAGCCGUAAACGAUGCUCGCUAGGUGUCAGGCAUGGCGCGACCGUGUCUGGUGCCGCAGGGAAGCCGUGAAGCGAGCCACCUGGGAAGUACGGCCGCAAGGCUGAAACUUAA